Long non-coding RNA from Solea senegalensis (Senegalese sole), 1007 nucleotides. RefSeq lists it as uncharacterized. The record is from RefSeq and is a predicted model, not a curated record. The transcript is spliced from 4 exons. NCBI's taxonomy places the organism in Eukaryota, Metazoa, Chordata, Actinopteri, Pleuronectiformes, Soleidae.
CCAGCUGGUGCAGACUCCUGCGGUCCACCUCUUCAAGUUUCUAAACACAGACACGUACAAGAGUUAAAGGUCUGGUGUGGGUGUUAGUGGCAGAAACUGAAUAUACUACACCACAAAUAUCUCUGGCAGUCUGUAGCUUCAGGAGGAAAAAAGACUGUGCGAGCUGUGAGACGACACACAGAACAAGCACCACACCUUGAUAUGUGCUUUGGCCUUGUUGAGGAGUCCCAGCGUGGUGUGCCGACUGCAGUCUGGUCCCAGAGGGAUGAGAGACUUCAACCUCUCCAAACACAGGCGGAGGUGUGCUCGUCUGUGGAGAGGAAACACACAUAAGCAUCCAGGAUCACAACCAGAGUCACAAUCUGGGUUUUAGAGCCAAGAAGCAGAUGCUGCCACAUCCUGGAGCUACAGAACCAGACUGCUGCUGCUGCUGCCUUUAUUCGACGUGUGCAGCUGAGAAUCUCUCAGGAAGGAGCCCCGUUGUCUGGAAACAGACGGUUCCCGUUUGCUGACGGGGGAUUUGUCUGCAUGUCCUCCAGGAACAGAGCUGCUGUUACUGAGGCUGCAGCACACACCUCCCACCCUCCCCUUUUUUAUAUUUGCCUUGCAAAACACACACACACAGCCUUUAUUGGAUUCCAAUGAUGAUUUAUAGACGUGCAGUGUGUCUCGUUUUUGAAAUUUUAUUUCAAGAAUAAAACAUGAGGUGCUUCAUGACACUAUAGGUAAGAUGCUAUAAGAUCGAGGCAGCUAUAGCGUUAUUUUAGACAUUCCUCAUGGCAGAGCCGGCGAAGAAGAAGCAGAGGAAACCGUUGUUGGAGGAAAACAACAGUCGUUUUUCAAAUGACGAGAAUUGAAAUACACAGGUAUGCAAAAUAGAUGCUGAUCGGCAUGGACAAGGCUCCACGGCUUGUGUUCGCCGGCUCCGUUGAAAACAAAUGCACAGGGGAAGGGAGACGGGAGACAAUUGAUGUCAAUGUUACAAUGUUUACGUGGUGUGAUGAAAA